This 77-nucleotide transfer RNA is filed under the name Candidatus Hepatincola sp. Av. Its description in RNAcentral is "tRNA-Arg". It matches the Rfam family "tRNA". From Rfam's summary of the family: Transfer RNA (tRNA) molecules are approximately 80 nucleotides in length. RNAcentral also lists the same sequence under 2 other names. Lineage: Bacteria; Pseudomonadati; Pseudomonadota; Alphaproteobacteria; Rhodospirillales; Candidatus Hepatincolaceae. The record is from RNAcentral.
GCACCUAUAGCUCAACUGGAUAGAGCGUUGCUUUCCGAGGGCAAAGGCUAGAGGUUCAAGUCCUCUUAGGUGCACCA